Leptonychotes weddellii (Weddell seal) is the source of this 1627-nucleotide non-coding RNA. NCBI's taxonomy places the organism in Eukaryota, Metazoa, Chordata, Mammalia, Carnivora, Phocidae. The record is from RefSeq and is a predicted model, not a curated record.
AACAUAACUGCAAAAUAUCAAGUUUGUACUGUUCUGGGGCCCUUUUUACAGACCUGUAUUCGAAGCGGGUAUUGUGGGUGAGCAGUUGUCCUUUUUACAUGUUUCCAUCGUUGAAGUUAAAGUCAUAGUAGGAAAUUCAUUACUACCUGGAACACACAAAUUAGAAUAUGGUAUAGAGACAAAUUUGCAAAUGACAAGAAAUGAACAUACGGUUACAAAGACAUAUAAACAAAAGGCACUACUACUCCGAUGUAGCUGUGCUCCUGAAAUCUUUUUUAGUAAGUUGGUUUGGAACUCUGAACGCAGUUUUGUAUAUGGAAGCAAUUUUAUAACUAGAGAAUAGGUUCACAAGCCAAUCCACUAGAAGCCUUUUAUACCUGUAUUAAUAAUAAUGUAGACCUUAACCACCACGUGUAACAGUGCUUGGAUGGCCAAGUGCAUUCAGAGUUCAGACCCGGGAUGCCAGGAACACACCUCCCCAAAGCAGUUGGUGUUUCCCGAGCUCCAAGCCACUGGUCAGUCCCUAUAGCAAGUGGAGACUUGUAGGUCAUGGCAGUUCUAACAGUGAAGUAGGGGGCUCCGGGGAACAGGGUUUAAAAUGCAAGAAUCUUCUGCCAGAUCCUACUCAGGAUCUUUCUUUUCUUCCUUAGUUCCCAAAGAUCCACCUGCUUGCUAGUGCACCACCUAUUUCCCUGGCCAGAAUGGACCAGAAGAUAGUAACUUUCCUAUCUGGCCUACAGAAUCAUCCAGAGAAACAAACAGCAAAAUGCAGAACUAUGAUUUGUAUCCUGCUUUGGAAAAAGAGUAAUGAAGAAAUUUAACCCGAAUGACAAAAGCAGUGAUUGUCCACAUGGAGAAGUACUCACCAGGAAGCUAUAGAAGAAUUCAUGGACAAAGAGGCCCAGCAUGCAAACCAGGACGUAGGCCACGUGGUAGAGAAAGGCCAUAUCCAGGAUGACUGCUCGGUAGCCUCGGGUGAAAGUGCCACGAUUGCCCACAAAACUCACCAGAAACACUAUUUUAUUACAAAGCUGCAGGGAGGAAAAUAUUAGACUUUACUGUCUUAUUUAUCCCCAAAACUCGCGUAAAUAGCAGUCAUUGACAAAACCUAGCAUUCACAAAGUCUGUGGUUUUCUUUUAUCAUUUUUCAUCUCGUAAUUUUUUGACAUUGCUUACAAAUCUGUGUGUAAACAUAAAACACCCCAAAGUUGUAUCAUUUGCAGUUCCAGGAGAAAAGAGGAGGAUGAUUAAGGGCACCAGCUUAGUAAUCGAGACAGACCUGAAUUUAAACCCUGGCUCUCUCACUACUGUUGUACAAGGUCAUGCAGCAGCUGGCCUUGAUUGUUUCUUUGGAAAAAUUGGAGCAAAGAGAUUUCGACCUUAUAGAACUCUUCGGAGGAUUAAACAAUUCAUAAUGCGUAUGAAACACUUAGUACAAUGACUCUUUAGAUACUACCCAUCAUAUUUUCCAUAUUAGAAGUAAUAGAUAUAAUAUUUUUAUUAUACUGGAAAUGUAACAGAAAAAUAUCUUUUCAGAAAAUAUCUAUCCUUCAUUUUUUCAUCCUAAACUUUCUCUCCUGAAUAUUACUGUAAACAAGUAAGCCAUUAAAAGUGAUUUUUUUUGCAU